This is a long non-coding RNA of Syngnathus acus (greater pipefish), 646 nucleotides long. RefSeq lists it as uncharacterized. The transcript has 4 exons. Lineage: Eukaryota; Metazoa; Chordata; Actinopteri; Syngnathiformes; Syngnathidae. The record is from RefSeq and is a predicted model, not a curated record.
AUUAGGGGGCGGGGCGAUUUGGAAUUCCAUCGCGUGGAGGUGUGCUACUUCCGCCUUCUGACUUGUGACGUCGCAACCGUUAACAAGUAGCAAUGUGAGAGGUGCGAACCGAGAGGCAACACCAAGACGAAAAGCACAUAACUUCGCUUCCCGUUCCUCGACCUCUCCUCUAGCCCAACACCCACCUGCUAUCUCGGCUUGAACAGAAUACCUGGGUCGAAGCACCAGCCGAACUCGGACAGCCGGACUUCAGAAAUCUCCAGACGGCAUGGGAGAAACAGCAGUUAGAGAGGAUGGUGCAGUGAGCCAGCACUAUUAGUAUAUUACCGCCAUUAUUCGACAUCUAAUGCUCCAUUUUGGCUCCAAAGUAUGUCGGGUCGUUUUCGGUGGACAACAUCUGCCUCGAUGAUCAGAUGGAGCAGUUGCACAGGAACCUGAAGACCCUGAAUACAUGCAAGAAAAGUAGUUCUGUAUCCCUCAAGUUCUCCAUCAAAGCGUGAAAAUGUACAACGAGGAUGAAACGACCCUUCUGAUGGCCCACGCCCUUCGUAGACUAUCACUGUCCACCGCUCGGCCCAGCGACUCCCAUUUCGCCUUCGUCUCCCACAACCCGGGCAGCGCCGACCCCCAGCUGUACUGCCAUGUU